AGAGUUUGAUCAUGGCUCAGGACGAACGCUGGCGGCGUGCUUAACACAUGCAAGUCGGACGGUGAAGCCCUUCGGGGUGGAUCAGUGGCGAACGGGUGAGUAACACGUGGGAAAUCUGCCCUGCAUUCUGGGACAAGCCUUGGAAACGAGGUCUAAUACCGGAUACGACGCAUCUCCGCAUGGGGUGUGCGUGGAAAGCUCCGGCGAUGCAGGAUGAUCCCGCGGCCUAUCAGCUUGUUGGUGGGGUAAUGGCCUACCAAGGCGACGACGGGUAGCCGGCCUGAGAGGGCGACCGGCCACACUGGGACUGAGACACGGCCCAGACUCCUACGGGAGGCAGCAGUGGGGAAUAUUGCACAAUGGGCGAAAGCCUGAUGCAGCGACGCCGCGUGAGGGAUGACGGCCUUCGGGUUGUAAACCUCUUUCAGCAGGGAAGAAGCGCAAGUGACGGUACCUGCAGAAGAAGCACCGGCUAACUACGUGCCAGCAGCCGCGGUAAUACGUAGGGUGCGAGCGUUGUCCGGAAUUAUUGGGCGUAAAGAGCUCGUAGGCGGCUUGUCACGUCGGAUGUGAAAGCCCGGGGCUUAACUCCGGGUCUGCAUUCGAUACGGGCAGGCUAGAGUGUGGUAGGGGAGAUCGGAAUUCCUGGUGUAGCGGUGAAAUGCGCAGAUAUCAGGAGGAACACCGGUGGCGAAGGCGGAUCUCUGGGCCAUUACUGACGCUGAGGAGCGAAAGCGUGGGGAGCGAACAGGAUUAGAUACCCCUGUAGUCC
Molecule: ribosomal RNA, 772 nt
Filed under: uncultured bacterium
Lineage: Bacteria
Description: bacterial SSU rRNA
Rfam family: Bacterial small subunit ribosomal RNA
Source: RNAcentral